This 489-nucleotide ribosomal RNA is filed under the name uncultured bacterium. Its description in RNAcentral is "SSU rRNA". It matches the Rfam family "Bacterial small subunit ribosomal RNA", at positions 26 to 518 of the family's 1533-position model. The record is from RNAcentral.
AGGACGAACGCUGGCGGCGUGCUUAACACAUGCAAGUCGGACGAGACCCUUCCUUCGGGGGGUGUUCUAGUGGCGAACGGGUGAGUAACACGUGGGCAACCUGCCCCCGGCUCUGGGAUAACUCCAAGAAAUUGGGGCUAAUACCGGAUAUGACUGCUGACCGCAUGGUCUGGUGGUGGAAAGAUUUAUCGGCUGGGGAUGGGCCCGCGGCCUAUCAGCUUGUUGGUGGGGUAGUGGCCUACCAAGGCGACGACGGGUAGCCGGCCUGAGAGGGUGACCGGCCACACUGGGACUGAGACACGGCCCAGACUCCUACGGGAGGCAGCAGUGGGGAAUAUUGCGCAAUGGGCGAAAGCCUGACGCAGCGACGCCGCGUGGGGGAUGAAGGCCUUCGGGUUGUAAACCCCGUUUCAGGAGGGAAGAUGGCGCGAGCAAUCGCGCGGACGGUACCUCCAGAGCAGCCACGGCUAACUCUGUGCCAGCAGCCGC